RNAcentral lists this ribosomal RNA (485 nucleotides) under uncultured bacterium. RNAcentral describes it as "bacterial SSU rRNA". It matches the Rfam family "Bacterial small subunit ribosomal RNA", at positions 29 to 507 of the family's 1533-position model. The record is from RNAcentral.
AUUGAACGCUAGCGGCAUGCCUUACACAUGCAAGUCGAACGGCAGCACGGGGGCAACCCUGGUGGCGAGUGGCGAACGGGUGAGUAAUGCAUCGGAACGUACCCAUCGAUGGGGGAUAACUGCGCGAAAGCGUUGCUAAUACCGCAUACGACCUACGGGUGAAAGCAGGGGACCGCAAGGCCUUGCGUCGAUGGAGCGGCCGAUGCCGGAUUAGCUAGUUGGUGAGGUAAAGGCUCACCAAGGCGACGAUCCCGUAGCUGGUCUGAGAGGACGACCAGCCACACUGGGACUGAGACACGGCCCAGACUCCUACGGGAGGCAGCAGUGGGGAAUCUUGGACAAUGGGCGAAAGCCUGAUCCAGCAAUGCCGCGUGUGGGAAGAAGGCCUUCGGGUUGUAAACCACUUUUGGCGGGAAAGAAAUGGUCUGUGCUAAUACCACGGAUUGAUGACGGUACCCGCAGAAUAAGCACCGGCUAACUACGUG